GAAUUUCUCUACCUCUACACACUCUUAACCAGAUAUAUCAUUUUCAGGACAAUUCAAUACAGAAACAAGAAGUGUGUGAAAAAGAAACCAUUGAGAAGCUUAAAGAAUUGGUUAAUCGGCUUCCAUCAGUGCACUAUAUAACUCUAGCAUUUUUAAUCCACCAUUUGAAAAGGAUAUCAGAAAACGUGGAGAAGAAUAAUAUGCCACCAAGUAACCUUGCUAUUGUGUUUGGACCGAACUUACUUCAAACGAGUGAAGGAAAUGCCUCAUUGAACUCUUUGAUCGACACGGUGCAUCAAGCUAGGGCCAUCGAGUUGUUGAUCAUUCAUGUAAAUGAAAUUUUUGGACCACCUGAAGUAGCCUAUCCAGACAUUCUUCAGGAACUAGAGGAGUUAAAUAGGAUGAAACCAUUGAAU
This is a long non-coding RNA of Limulus polyphemus (Atlantic horseshoe crab), 416 nucleotides long. RefSeq lists it as uncharacterized. The transcript is spliced from 3 exons. The record is from RefSeq and is a predicted model, not a curated record. NCBI's taxonomy places the organism in Eukaryota, Metazoa, Arthropoda, Merostomata, Xiphosura, Limulidae.